GGGAAAAAAAAGGGAAUGAGGAGAAAUGGGCGGGAAAAAAACGCUGAGGGAACAACGGAACCACGUGAAAGGAACGGGCGGAAAAACGCGAAAUAAGAGGAAAAAAAAGGAAGAUAUUCCAGAAAAAAGAGGGAAAAUCUAAAAGAAUACAGGGAAACGCGAAGGGAGAGAGAGAAAAAACGCGAAACGUGAGGUAAAAAAUAAAAAAGCACAAAGCAAACCGCGCUGCGCUCCGCCGCCGUUCCGCUCCUCUUCCUCCUCCGCCGCCACCUACGGAAAAACCGCCUUAAAACGCCGAAUUUCGCCCUUUUUCGCCCCAAAUUCUCCCUCCCCCCGUGCCUCUGUGCGGCCCCGCAAAGUCCGGCGGCGAACGGCACCGCUCCGGGUGAAGCCCGCGGCCGCCACGCGAUGCUCUGCGACGCCGCUAAACCCCGCGGCCCGGACUGGCGGCAGCGGGGGGAACGCGGGUCGGGCCCUCUCCCCCUUCUCUUCCCUUCAUUUCCGUUUUUUUUCCCCGUUUUUUCGCGUUUUUUCCCCGUUUUCCCGCUCCUCACCGCCGCUCCCCGGUUCCCCCGCCGAGAUCCGCGCUCUUCGGACGCCGGAAGUGGAGUGAGCACAGCCCGCCUGACGCCGCCUCUUCCGAUUGGUCAAUGGAACAGGGGGGGGUGGGACCAACUUUCGGUUCGGCCCUUCUCAUUGGUUAAAAGUUGGGAACGGGGUGGGAUCAAGCAGCUCUCUCUCCUCACUGGUUAGAGGUCACAGGGGGCGGGAUCACGCGCCCUGUCGUCAAAGCUCAUUGGUGGAAGCCGGGAAGGGGGCGGGACUGACCGCUCUUUCGCCAAGUCUCAUUGGUCGAUGGGCUAUACUGGUUUGUACUGGGAUUGUGGUGGCACAUACUGGGAUCACACUGGGUUAUACUGGGAUCAUACUGGUUUAUACUGGGAUCUCACUGGGUUAUACUGGCUUAUACUGGGAUCAUACUGGUUUAUACUGGGCCAUACUGGGAUCACACUGGGUUAUACUGGGAUCAUACUGGGAUCAUACUGGGAUCAUACUGGUUUAUACUGGGAUCAUACUGGGUUAUACUGGGAUCACACUGGUUUCUACUGGUUUAUACUGGGCCAUAGUGGGAUCACACUGGGAUCAUACUGGUUUCUACUGGGAUCAUACUGGGAUCACACUGGUUUAUAUUGGGAUCAUACUGGGAUCACACUGGUUUCUACUGGUUUAUACUGGGAUCAUACUGGGAUCAUACUGGUUUCUACUGGUUUAUACUGGGAUCAUACUGGGAUCAUACUGGUUUCUACUGGGAUCACACUGGUUUAUACUGGUUUCUACUGGGAUCAUACUGGGAUCACACUGGUUUAUACUGGGCUAUACUGGGAUCACAGAGCUUUAUACUGGCUUAUACUGGAAUCAUACUGGUUUAUACUGGCUUAUACUGGGAUCAUACUGGUUUAUACUGGGAUCACACUGCUUUAUACUGGCUUAUACUGGGAUGAUACUGGUUCAUACUGGGAUCACCCAGCUUUAUACUGGCUCAUACUGGGAUCACACUGGUUUAUACUGGGAUCACACUGCUUUAUACUCCCUUAUACUGGGGACAUACUGGUUUAUACUGGGAUCACACUGGCUUAUACUGGGAUCAUACUGGUUUUUACUGGAUCACAGAGCUUUAUACUGGCUUAUACUGGGAUCAUACUGGUUUAUACUGGGAUCUCACUGGCUUAUACUGGCUUAUACUGGGAUCAUACUGGUUUAUACUGGGAUCACACAGCUUUAUACUGGUUUAUACUGGGAUCAUACUGGUUUGUACUGGGUUAUACUGGUUUAUACUGGUUUAUACUGGGACCUCACUGCUUUAUACUGGCUCAUACUGGGAUCAUACUGGUUUAUACUGGGAUCUCAGUGCUUUAUACUGGCUCAUACUGGGAUCACACUGGUUUAUACUGGCUCAUACCGGGAUCAUACUGGUUUAUACUGGGAU
Long non-coding RNA from Numida meleagris (helmeted guineafowl), 1987 nucleotides. The record is from Ensembl. NCBI's taxonomy places the organism in Eukaryota, Metazoa, Chordata, Aves, Galliformes, Numididae.